AUGGUGGCGAUAUCGAUGUACCGCGGCAACCUCCACCGGGGCGGGGACGACGCCGCGCGCCGCUGGCCGGUGCCCCCGCCCACGCUCUCCGCGUCCCAGUUCCGCCGCCUCCUCCACCGCCGGUCCCUCGCCGUCUCCCGCCUCGCGGGGGCCCCCCGGCCCAACUCCCCCAACCCCCGCCCGGGCGACGGCGCCGCGGGGCCCGUGGCCGUGGGGGAGGCGCAGGAGGUGGACGGGGGUCAGCAGCAGCAGCAGCAUCAGGCCGAGCGGCAGGAGGAGGAGGGCCAUGCUGUGCAGAUGCAGCAGCAGCAUCAUCAGGUGGAGGAAGAGGGACAGGGUGUGCAGCAGCCACAGGGGGAGGGCGAGGGGCAAGACGAGCAGCAGCAGCAAGGAGACGAGGGGGGAGAAGAGGGGGAGCAGGAGGAGGGGGCGGUGGAGGAUGUGGAAAUGGACGAUGCGGGAGAGGUGGUCGCCGGAGAUGCUGAUGCCGGCGGCAAUGGUGACCCUGAAGAAGGUCAAGGCGAAAGCGAAGGCUUCGACCCCAACUCGGAGGUGGGUUAA
This 561-nucleotide ribosomal RNA is filed under the name Triticum aestivum (bread wheat). Its description in RNAcentral is "partial small subunit ribosomal RNA". The record is from RNAcentral. Lineage: Eukaryota; Viridiplantae; Streptophyta; Magnoliopsida; Poales; Poaceae.